GUAAAAAGUCCAGAGUUAGGAUGGGAGGCAUCCUUGAUAAUGCUUUUCGCCCUGCCCAGGGAGCGUUUAUGGUAAAUGUUUUCAAUGGUGAGCAAUGCUGGGUCCCGGUGAUCCGAUUUCAUCACCGCCGGAGUGCUUUUCAGUCUGAUGCAGAGUAUUUGCCAUGCCACUGAGAUACAGUUGGUGGAUGCUGUGAUUGAACAAUCUACAAUUCCAAUCUGGAAUCAGACACCUGGUACAAGAGCAAAGUGAAUGUAACCAAGGAGGGACAGGCUGAGAGAUGGCCAAAACACACAGGAAUCCUGACAACAGCCUGGAACUAACAACUGUUGCAAGUGGCAUUGAGAACUCCAAAUCUUCAAGCACAGCACUUUUCUCAGAGCCCAAACAAGAACUCAGCAGGAAGCCAAGACAGAAGAUCUAUUCUUCUUCUUCUUCCACAUCAUCCUUGCUGGUCCUGAGGGGACUCUGAGGGGGCCGGGGCUGGCAUUUCGAGAGCGCAAGGCGGUACUUUCCAGAACAUUUGCCAUCCAGGUACUUUGCAUUCAGCUGCAAAUGCGCCACCAAUUAAACUGCACCCCUCUCAUUUUUCCCCCCAGUACUUCAAAGGCACGGAAUAGCUGAUGACAGGGCCUCACUGAUAGCCCCCAUUGAUCUGCUGACGCAGGGGAGCUUUGGUGCCUUCACAGCCUCGCCACAGCAACCCAGAUCCUGCCCAUCAAAAGGAUUUUUAAAUCCACCACCGUUACCAAAAACUGAACAAUAAUCACAAUUAGUGAUAUGAAUAGUGUAAUUCCAGCACACAGAUGAUCAACACCAGCUGUUAACGCACAAACACUAUUACACAUUUAUCUUUAAGCUGUAAUCGUGAAAGCAGUAGUUGUGUAUAGUGCACAUCUGACGUGGUAUUGUUAUGAUAAUUGAGAUUUGACUGGUUUUCAAAAGCUAUGUAGGACAAAAAACUAAAAGAAACAAACUAGAGAAACCACCAGGGCCGUAUAAAUGGAGGCUGGCCAAACCAAUGUAAAUAAACAAAGAAAUGUUUCACAUGAAAGAUCAAAUUAAGUGCCAUGCAAUUAUCUGUAUAAUUACAUGGUAAUAGUCAAUCUCAACAGGAUUUAGCUAAUUAUUUGGUUGUGUUGCUUUAUUAGAGUUAAAUCGAGUGGCUUUUUGGGGUCCAGUUUCAUUGUACCGCCAACAAAAAAGUUUCAUUGUUUAUAUUUUUAUAUGAUAUAGCUGAAGGUAACAGCUGGAUGUCAGGCUGCCCUUCUAGAGAGAGUAAAAGCAACAUCUGUCAUCACCAUAGCAAUCAGACCGUUUCCUACACAGAGCAGACAGACAUGGGUUGUGCAUUUUAAAGUGAACAAAAGACAAGGGUACACAAACAUGGCUUUGGAUGGGAAAAUGAUUGAAACCAGAAGGGUCUAACUCAAACACACUCUUAGAUGUGUAAUAUGUACCACCCUAUACCCAAAUUCACAAGCUUUCUUCUGCUUACCGUUUACACGUUCCUUCAACAUACAUUGUAUGUUUUUCCAUUUAUUGUUUCUCCAUCACACUGUGAGUUCCGUACGUUUCCUAUUUAAAGUAUGCCAUUCAUAUUGGUGUCCUAAAAUACCUUACAGCAAACCUCCAAAGCACUUUAACCGACUACACAUAUUCUUUUGCUCUGAAACGCUAUACGGUUCACACCAGGCAAAACCAUUCAGACGGCUGUAGGAAUUUGAACUACUAUUCAGCUGUCAGAGGCAUUAACGGACAUUCAAAUCUCAGAAAUGCGGCCUCUUCUUCUGACGCUUUUUGCAAACCGAAAUGGCCCCAACAGAGCAGAUAAAAUGGGUAACUCAUUGAAUCAACAUCAAACUGUGGAACAGUGUUUAGAGACAUCAUAGCACAGUGUAAUCGCAACACUAGGCACUGUUCAUGUAGCAGUCGGCGGAGCACAGAUCUUAAU
Clupea harengus (Atlantic herring) is the source of this 1954-nucleotide long non-coding RNA. RefSeq lists it as uncharacterized. The record is from RefSeq and is a predicted model, not a curated record. NCBI's taxonomy places the organism in Eukaryota, Metazoa, Chordata, Actinopteri, Clupeiformes, Clupeidae.